GGUGGGGUGCUAGAGCGGUUGAAUAGGCUGGUCUUGAAAACCAGUAGGGUAGCAAUAUCCUCGUGAGUUCGAAUCUCACCCCCACCG
This 87-nucleotide transfer RNA is filed under the name Candidatus Nealsonbacteria bacterium RIFCSPLOWO2_01_FULL_41_9. Its description in RNAcentral is "tRNA-Ser". It matches the Rfam family "tRNA". From Rfam's summary of the family: Transfer RNA (tRNA) molecules are approximately 80 nucleotides in length. Lineage: Bacteria; Candidatus Nealsoniibacteriota. The record is from RNAcentral.